CUGCGCCUCCGCGCCAUGGCCGGCCUCAACUCCCUGGAGGCGGUGAAACGCAAGAUCCAAGCCCUGCAGUGGCAGGCGGACGAGGCGGAAGACCGCGCGCAGGGCCUGCAGCGGGAGCUGGACCGCGAGCGCGAGCGGCGCAAGCAGCGCGAGAAAGCUGAAGGUGAUGUGGCCGCCCUCAAUCGACGCAUCCAGCUCGUUGAGGAGGAGUUGGACAGGGCUCAGGAACGACUGGCCACGGCCCUGAAGCUGGAGGAGGCGGAAAAGGCUGCAGAUGAGAGUGAGAGAGGAAUGAAGGUGAUAGAAAACCGGGCCAUGAAGGAUGAGGAGAAGAUGGAAAUUCAGGAGAUACAGCUCAAAGAGGCCAAGCACAUUGCGGAAGAGGCUGACCGCAAAUACGAGAAGGUAGCUCGUAAGCUGGUCAUCCAGGAGGGUGAGCUGGAGAGGGCAGAGGAGCGUGCGGAGGUGUCUGAACUAAAAUGUGGAAAAUGUGGUGACCUGGAGGAAGAGAACUCAAGCAUGUUACUAACAACCUGAAAUCUCUGGAGGCUGCAUCUGAAAAGUAUUCUGAAAAGGAGGACAAAUAUGAAGAAGAAUUAAACUUCUGUCUGACAAACUGAAAGAGGCUGAGACCCGUGCUGAAUUUGCAGAGAGAACGGUUGCAAAACUGGAAAAGACAAUUGAUGACCUGGAAGAGAAACUUGCCCAGGCCAAAGAAGAGAACGUGGGCUUACAUCAGACAGUGGAUCAGACACUAAACGAACUUAACUGUAUAUAAGCAAAACAGAAGAGUCUUGUUCCAACAGAAACUGCGGAGCUCCGUGGGUCUUUCUUUUCUCUUGUAUGAAGUUCCUUUUGUUAUUGCCAUCUUCGCUUUGCUGGAAAUGUCAAGCAAAUUAUGAAUACAUGACCAAAUAUUUUGUAUCGGAGAAGCUUUGAGCACCAGUUAAAUCUCAUUCCUUCCCUUUUUUUUUUCAAAUGGCACCAGCUUUUUCAGCUCUCUUAUUUCUUCCUUGAGUUGCAUUUAUUCCUAAGGUAGGCAGGGUAUUUCCUAGUAAGCAUACUUUCUUAAGACAGAGGCCAUUUGGUUCCUGGGAGAAUAGGCAGCCCCACACUUUGAAGAACACAGACCCCAAUAUCUAGUCGUGGAUAUAAUUAAAACGCUGAAGACCAUAA
Macaca mulatta (Rhesus monkey) is the source of this 1176-nucleotide RNA transcript. It is a transcript of the gene named tropomyosin alpha-4 chain pseudogene, with no coding region annotated. NCBI's taxonomy places the organism in Eukaryota, Metazoa, Chordata, Mammalia, Primates, Cercopithecidae. The record is from RefSeq and is a predicted model, not a curated record.